RNAcentral lists this ribosomal RNA (461 nucleotides) under uncultured bacterium. RNAcentral's name for it is "partial 16S ribosomal RNA". It matches the Rfam family "Bacterial small subunit ribosomal RNA", at positions 338 to 795 of the family's 1533-position model. The record is from RNAcentral.
CCUACGGGAGGCAGCAGUGAGGAAUAUUGGUCAAUGGGCGCGAGCCUGAACCAGCCAAGUCGCGUGAGGGAUGACGGUCCUACGGAUUGUAAACCUCUUUUGCCGGGGAGCAAGCGUCCGUUCGUGAACGCGCGUCGAGAGUACCCGGAGAAAAAGCAUCGGCUAACUCCGUGCCAGCAGCCGCGGUAAUACGGAGGAUGCGAGCGUUAUCCGGAUUUAUUGGGUUUAAAGGGUGCGCAGGCGGCAGCGGCAAGUCAGCGGUAAAAUUGCGGGGCUCAACCUCGCCGAGCCGUUGAAACUGCGCUUCUAGAGUGGGCGAGAAGUAUGCGGAAUGCGUGGUGUAGCGGUGAAAUGCAUAGAUAUCACGCAGAACUCCGAUUGCGAAGGCAGCAUACCGGCGCCCAACUGACGCUCAUGCACGAAAGCGUGGGUAUCGAACAGGAUUAGAUACCCGAGUAGUC